GGCUUUGCUCAAUGGCAGUAUCAUAGCUGAUGAGGUUUAUCCAAGGCGUGAUUAUUGCUGAUUGAAAACUUUUCCCAGUGCCCCACUAGGACGACUUGAAAUAUAGUUGGCAUGAGUAAUUUUUGACAGUCUAUACAGAGA
Small nuclear RNA from Microcebus murinus (gray mouse lemur), 141 nucleotides. Its record names the gene U4. It matches the Rfam family "U4 spliceosomal RNA". Rfam says of the family: U4 small nuclear RNA (U4 snRNA) is a component of the major U2-dependent spliceosome. The structure of U4 snRNA from yeast and human has been reported. Lineage: Eukaryota; Metazoa; Chordata; Mammalia; Primates; Cheirogaleidae. The record is from Ensembl.